RNAcentral lists this ribosomal RNA (305 nucleotides) under uncultured bacterium. Its description in RNAcentral is "partial 16S ribosomal RNA". It matches the Rfam family "Bacterial small subunit ribosomal RNA", at positions 506 to 809 of the family's 1533-position model. The record is from RNAcentral.
ACAGCAGCAGCCACGGUAAUACGAAGGGUGCAAGCGUUACUCGGAAUUACUGGGCGUAAAGCGCGCGUAGGCGGUUAUUCAAGUCAGAGGUGAAAGCCCGGGGCUCAACCCCGGAACUGCCUUUGAAACUAGAUAGCUAGAAUCUUGGAGAGGUCAGUGGAAUUCCGAGUGUAGAGGUGAAGUUCGUAGAUAUUCGGAAGAACACCAGUGGCGAAGGCGACUGACUGGACAAGUAUUGACGCUGAGGUGCGAAAGCGUGGGGAGCAAACAGGAUUAGAUACCCCUGUAGUCCCUGUCUCUUAUAA